RNAcentral lists this long non-coding RNA (265 nucleotides) under Capsella rubella. RNAcentral describes it as "long non-coding RNA (CRUB_LNC000971)". The record is from RNAcentral. Lineage: Eukaryota; Viridiplantae; Streptophyta; Magnoliopsida; Brassicales; Brassicaceae.
UUGACCUUUGCUCUUCAUUUGUUUUUUUUUUAUAGUUUAAUGUACAAUAAUAUUCGAUUUAGCUAGAGCCUAGAGAUCUACAUUGUGUUUUCUUUUUAUUAUCUUUAUAACCAAAUCAGACCUGAGAUCUACUAAAUUGAUAUCACCAUUUGAUUCUUUAAAGAUUCAGUAGUGUGCUGAACACUACCAUGCAAUUAGCUUAAGUUGGUUUGCUCUGAUUUCAGUUUCUUGUAAUCAAUCACAUUUAUAUCCUUACAAAACUAUA